Oncorhynchus tshawytscha (Chinook salmon) is the source of this 358-nucleotide long non-coding RNA. RefSeq lists it as uncharacterized. Lineage: Eukaryota; Metazoa; Chordata; Actinopteri; Salmoniformes; Salmonidae. The transcript is spliced from 4 exons. The record is from RefSeq and is a predicted model, not a curated record.
CCUGUCAAACUGCAGCCAACAUAUUACUUUACCCAUGCUGGGAACACGCUGGUGAGAGAGCUGUCAGUAUUAAAUACACAGAUUUUCAUGAUGGAGCAGCCGAUUUUCAUCUGUUUCACUCCUGUAGGGAGGAUGGUGUGGGAGGAACUGACUUCUCAAACUGAACAGCCAAAUAGUGAAGACUCUGGUUUUCCCUUUGAGAAGAUGCAGCUGGUUGGGAACUGGGGUUCGUUUCAUUUCCAUACCUGGAUAAUCCGUUAUGGACGAGUGCAGCAAAACGAAGAGGACAUGCAUCACCUGUGCAUUGUGAGGGGAGUGGAGAAACAGCUGUGGUGGAGCAGAGUCAUUCAGGAAAAAA